GACGAACGCUGGCGGCGUGCCUAACACAUGCAAGUCGAACGGGACCGCAAGGUUCAGUGGCGAACGGGUGCGUAACACGUGAGAAACGUAGCCAUCGGCGGGGGAUAGCCGGUCCAACGACCGGGUAAUACCGCGUACGACCUUCGGGUGGCAUCACCUGGAGGUGAAAGACAGCAAUGCGCCGAUGGGGCGUCUCGCGGCCUAUCAGCUAGUUGGUGAGGUAACGGCUCACUAAGGCAACGACGGGUAGCUGGUCCGAGAGAUGACCAGCCACAUUGGGGACUGAGACACGGCCCAGACUCCUACGGGAGGCAGCAGUGGGGAAUAUUGCGCAAUGGGGGCAACCCUGACGCAGCGACGCCGCGUGUGGGAUGAAGGUC
This 380-nucleotide ribosomal RNA is filed under the name uncultured bacterium. RNAcentral's name for it is "bacterial SSU rRNA". It matches the Rfam family "Bacterial small subunit ribosomal RNA", at positions 28 to 416 of the family's 1533-position model. The record is from RNAcentral.